GUAUCAUGUCUGCCUGCACACUGCCA
RNAcentral lists this non-coding RNA (26 nucleotides) under Mus musculus (house mouse). Lineage: Eukaryota; Metazoa; Chordata; Mammalia; Rodentia; Muridae. The record is from RNAcentral.